AUGGGAAGGGGAACCAUGGUUCACCAUCAUGGAUGUCCGAGCAGUUGAAUGUGGUAUUGCUUAGUUCAAUACCACGUUCACUAAAAUUGAGGUUUGUUCAGUUUAGCCUUGAAGACCUUUCUUGCCAUAGUGUCCAGAUCCUUAUGUAACAUGUUACAGCAAGAGUCUACAUGAAUCAUCAGGGAAGAGUCAGAUCUGGUUGCCAUGUCUGGACAUUAUUGCUGCUUUGGAACCACGCAAUCCUGAACAAAGACUUUGUACAGAUGGUUGUGAUACUGAAAAAGACACUGUACUGGCAGAUACCUUCAGACUGGCAGCUCAAGAAGCCUUCCAAGUGAUGCAGAUCAUGAAGUUCUGCAUCUGCCUUUGAGACUUGUCACUCAGACAUCAAUUUUUUAAAACUAUUUUUGGCUGACUUUUGCUCCCCCCCUCAUCCUUGGAAUCAGUGGGAGCUAGGUGCCUAAAUGCCUUUGAGGAUCUGGGCCAAAGUGUGUUUGUUCAGUUUAUGGGUACUUGUGGUAUGAACAGAUGUCACGUGGUGAUUAGUAGGAGGCUAUCAAACUCUUUUUCACUGCUAUACUUGUGACCUAGUUCAAGAGGUGACUGAUAAGUGCUUGAAAUUGGUUUAUUAAAAAUAAUUGAGCAAAAUUACAUUUUAGCAUAAUUUGGCAAAAAAUAAGUAAGGCUUUCACAAUGGGGGACCUUAUGGCUUAAUUUGAAAGUGCUCCUCAUUUCUGUAUCUUGGUGUGAUGACUUUGGCUGCAUGGGAUUUUUUGAUCUGGGGAAAAGUGGGGGGGAAAAUCAGACUGGUAAACUUGAACUGUUCAUCUAAAUUACAGUGUUUUGUAUAAAAAAUGUUUUUAAACACAUUUUGCCUGAUUUGCACACAGCUUAGUAAAAUUACUUACUUGGAAGCUAAAAUUGUGUGUCCUUUUUCUCUUCCUACCUCACUCUUGUGACUCUUGCUCUGUAGGACGUCAAUAGGAAAUUGAAAAUGGAUGCAUGCAUCUUAAUUAUUACAGUUUAUCAUAUGUUUCCCUCAGAGUAAUUACUAAUAUGUGAUGGUUGAGUUACAUAAGCCUUGAUAUGAAAACAACAAUAUAAUCAUUUCCAGCUACAUUGAGUCUUUUAUAGAAGAUUAGACUAAUUCUUAAACAAAAUCCAGAUAUUAAAUUAAGAUUGAAAUCAAUGAGGGAUUUAAAGAGCUCAAAUUGUUCAGCUUGUCAAAAAGAAGAUCAAGUGGUGAGUUGAUUACGAUGUAUAAAGUACCUUCACGGGGAGAAAAUACCAGGUACUAAAGGGCUCUAAUCUAGAAGAAAAGAGCAUUACAAGAACUAAUGGCUGGAAGUUAAAGCCAGACAAAUGCAAAUUAGAAAUAAGGCACACAUUUUUAAUAGGGGAUGAUCCAUUGAAACAAACUACCAAGGGAAAUUGUGGAUUCUCUGUCUCUUGAUGUCUUCAAACCAAGAUUGGAUGAUUUCUGGAACACAAGUUGUUGGGUUCAAUACAGGAUUAACUGGGUGAAAUCCAAGACUUAUGUUUAUACAGAAGGUCACAGUAGAUCUGAUGGUCCUUACUGGCCUUAAAAUCUAGUGACUGAAUUUGACUACAAUAACCUUCUUUAAAACUCUGUCAAGGUGAGCAACACUGUGUUUGUUUCUGGUUGAGUGAGUAAUAUUUUUACUUGAUUAUUCUCAAUAUAAGUGUGAGCGAGCAGGUGAAUUUUAAUAACAGCUUUGUGAAGCUGGAACUCCCACAAUAUAAUGAG
Non-coding RNA from Chelonoidis abingdonii (Abingdon island giant tortoise), 1768 nucleotides. NCBI's taxonomy places the organism in Eukaryota, Metazoa, Chordata, Testudines, Testudinidae. The record is from RefSeq and is a predicted model, not a curated record.